This 1198-nucleotide ribosomal RNA is filed under the name Halomonas sp. M3. RNAcentral describes it as "bacterial SSU rRNA". It matches the Rfam family "Bacterial small subunit ribosomal RNA", at positions 277 to 1475 of the family's 1533-position model. The record is from RNAcentral. Lineage: Bacteria; Pseudomonadati; Pseudomonadota; Gammaproteobacteria; Oceanospirillales; Halomonadaceae.
CGAUCCUAGCUGUUUGAGAGAAGAUCAGCCCAUUGGGACUGAGCACGGCCCGAAUUCUUCGGAGGCAGCAGUGGGAAUAUUGACAAUGGGGGCAACCCUGAUCCAGCCAUGCCGCGUGGUGAAGAAGGCCUUCGGGUUGUAAAGCACUUUCAGCGAGGAAGAAGGCCUGGUGGCCAAUACCCACCAGGAAGGACAUCACUCGCAGAAGAAGCACCGGCUAACUCCGUGCCAGCAGCCGCGGUAAUACGGAGGGUGCGAGCGUUAAUCGGAAUUACUGGGCGUAAAGCGCGCGUAGGUGGCUUGAUAAGCCGGUUGUGAAAGCCCUGGGCUCAACCUGGGAACGGCAUCCGGAACUGUCAGGCUAGAGUGCAGGAGAGGAAGGUAGAAUUCCCGGUGUAGCGGUGAAAUGCGUAGAGAUCGGGAGGAAUACCAGUGGCGAAGGCGGCCUUCUGGACUGACACUGACACUGAGGUGCGAAAGCGUGGGUAGCAAACAGGAUUAGAUACCCUGGUAGUCCACGCCGUAAACGAUGUCGACUAGCCGUUGGGUCCCUCGCGGACUUUGUGGCGCAGUUAACGCGAUAAGUCGACCGCCUGGGGAGUACGGCCGCAAGGUUAAAACUCAAAUGAAUUGACGGGGGCCCGCACAAGCGGUGGAGCAUGUGGUUUAAUUCGAUGCAACGCGAAGAACCUUACCUACCCUUGACAUCCUGCGAACUUGGUAGAGAUACCUUGGUGCCUUCGGGAGCGCAGAGACAGGUGCUGCAUGGCUGUCGUCAGCUCGUGUUGUGAAAUGUUGGGUUAAGUCCCGUAACGAGCGCAACCCUUGUCCUUAUUUGCCAGCGGGUAAUGCCGGGAACUCUAAGGAGACUGCCGGUGACAAACCGGAGGAAGGUGGGGACGACGUCAAGUCAUCAUGGCCCUUACGGGUAGGGCUACACACGUGCUACAAUGGUCAGUACAAAGGGUUGCCAACUCGCGAGAGUGCGCUAAUCCCAUAAAGCUGAUCUCAGUCCGGAUCGGAGUCUGCAACUCGACUCCGUGAAGUCGGAAUCGCUAGUAAUCGUGAAUCAGAAUGUCACGGUGAAUACGUUCCCGGGCCUUGUACACACCGCCCGUCACACCAUGGGAGUGGACUGCACCAGAAGUGGUUAGCUCUAACAUUCGGGAGCGCGAUCACCCAGUAGAGUGUUCACCCC